ACAAACAAAGUCAAACAAGCAAAGCAACCAAUGUGAAAGGCACAAGCUCAACUCAAAGGAGCUAAAAGCCACCUACAAGACAAAUCAAGAUUAGUCACUCAUCAACCAAAUAAUCCAAUUCAAGCAAAUGUAUCAAUCCUCUCAUGGCCAUGUGCUUCUUAUCCUGAAAACAAAGCUCAAACAUAAGCACCAACCACUAGGACAAGGCCUAGGGUCAAAGAGGGGGAAAUAAUUCAAAACAGAACAUGAAAAUUGACAUGAA
This 262-nucleotide long non-coding RNA is filed under the name Lathyrus oleraceus (garden pea). RNAcentral describes it as "Pisum sativum (pea) long non-coding RNA (PSAT_LNC001867)". The record is from RNAcentral. Lineage: Eukaryota; Viridiplantae; Streptophyta; Magnoliopsida; Fabales; Fabaceae.